UAGUCACGAUAUGGCUUGAAAUGAUUGUUUAGAUUUUUCUUCAAGAGUCCUUUGUUCCUUGGUGUCUUUAUUAUGACCCCAGCCACAUACUUUGUCUAUUGGUUUGGCAUACAAUCCUUACCUGUUAGGUCUCUUGUUUGGCCAUGCUUCCUAUUCAUGCCCAGAGUGGUUUGGACUGAGAUGAUUCACUUUCUUAUACCCUAUGGCUAUCUUAAAAGCCUUGCUCGCAUACGUAAAGCUUAUAUUGUUCAUAAAUUCUUGGUGUAAAUGUGUGUUUUCUAAACAAAACAAGGCUUGGAAUUUCCCUGUUACUCUUUGUUGUGCAGUCCCUAUGUGCAAGAAAAAGAUUAUUACAAUCUCAUGUGUUUGAGGUAUGCUUGAAGGCUCAUGAUUUUCUAGAUCCCUUGGUGGUGCUUUGAAUGGUGAUUCUUUUUUCUUAUCCUUGCAUCUGUAGUUGAUGAAAUUCCUGAAUGUGAUCACGGGGAUCACUCUUACCAUCGUAUUUGUCAUACUUUGGUAUAUCUAAAUUUGGGGGAAAAGGUACCAUGUUCAAUCUCCUAUCAAAAGGAUAAGGACAAAUGUCAUCUAAUGAAUAUCAUACCGUAGUCCCUUGUUGCAUGUCCGGCAUUUGUCUUUUAAGUGUUUGGAGUUGUUGUGUAAGAGCAGCUAGGGGCACAUUGGUCCUUCGAUGGGGAGCUUCCCCUCGUUCAUUAAGAUUAUCCCGAUUGCAGACAUGGUCUUGUUCGUGAGUGUUGUCUUGUUCAAGGGUGCGAUCUUAGUUACCUGCUCUGACGUUCACAAACACUUUCAGAAUUGUAGAAGCCAUUUCUGAGUUGUCCAUUUUGCUGGAUUUUACUGUCUCCCCAACAGUGUUCAGCUCGUGCUUUCAGGAGUAGCGGGGGGCUCAGGGUUGGGUGUUUACUUAGCGGUUUUUGGUGAGUGCUAUUUAUUUCUAGUAGAAUGGCUUAAUAUAAAAAUGAAAUGAAUGUCAAUGAGCCCUUGGUCUACUAGUGAAGUUGAAAGGUUCUAAAUGAGCCCACCAGGGAUCAAGUCUUGCUCAGUGCAAGGCUUUGACAUCAUAAGGGAUGAGGUUGGGAUCGUGCCCCGUAUUGGCUCAUGCCCCCGUAUCGGGUGGCAAAAACUACUUUGUGGACUUCUAUCCAAAAAAAGAAAAAUGAAAUGAAUUUUUUUAUCA
Cryptomeria japonica (Japanese cedar) is the source of this 1195-nucleotide long non-coding RNA. RefSeq lists it as uncharacterized. The record is from RefSeq and is a predicted model, not a curated record. Lineage: Eukaryota; Viridiplantae; Streptophyta; Pinopsida; Cupressales; Cupressaceae. The transcript has 3 exons.